This 294-nucleotide ribosomal RNA is filed under the name Bacillus cereus. RNAcentral's name for it is "partial 16S ribosomal RNA". It matches the Rfam family "Bacterial small subunit ribosomal RNA", at positions 547 to 838 of the family's 1533-position model. The record is from RNAcentral. Lineage: Bacteria; Bacillati; Bacillota; Bacilli; Caryophanales; Bacillaceae.
CGGGAAUUAUUGGGCGUAAGCGCGCGCAGGUGGUUUCUUAAGUCUGAUGUGAAAGCCCACGGCCCUACCGUGGAGGGUCAUUGGAAACUGGGAGACUUGAGUGCCCAUUAGGAGAGUGGAAUUCCAUGUGUAGCGGUGAAAUGCGUAGAGAUAUGGAGGAACACCAGUGGCGAAGGCGACUUUCUGGUCUGUAACUGACACUGAGGCGCGAAAGCGUGGGGAGCAAACAGGAUUAUAUACCCUGGUAGUCCACGCCGUAAGCGAUGAGUGCUAAGUGUUAUAGGGUUUCCUCCC